UUGACGGGGGCCCGCACAAGCGGUGGAGCAUGUGGUUUAAUUGGACGCAACGCGAAGAACCUUACCAAGGCUUGACAUCCUCAGAAUCCCUGGACACCACGCCCCCCCCUUCGGGGAACUGAGAGACAGGUGGUGCAUGGUUGUCGUCAGCUCGUGUCGUGAGAUGUUGGGUUAAGUCCCGCAACGAGCGCAACCCCUGUAUUUAGUUGCUAACAAGUAAGGUUGAGCACUCUAGAUAGACUNCCGGUGGGGAACCGGAGGAAGGUGGGGAUGACGUCAAAUCAUCAUGCCCCUUAUGUCUUGGGCUACACACGUGCUACAAUGGCCGGCGUACACGGAAGCGAAGCCGCGAGGUGAAGCAAAUCCGAGAAAGCCGGUCUCAGUUCGGAUUGCAGGCUGCAACUCGCCUGCAUGAAGUCGGAAUCGGUAGUAAUCGCAGGUCAGCAUACUGCGGUGAAUACGUUCCCGGGCCUUGUACUCUCCGCCCGUCAC
RNAcentral lists this ribosomal RNA (492 nucleotides) under uncultured bacterium. RNAcentral's name for it is "bacterial SSU rRNA". It matches the Rfam family "Bacterial small subunit ribosomal RNA", at positions 910 to 1400 of the family's 1533-position model. The record is from RNAcentral.